AUCUAACUGAGGAGUCCCAAACAGGACGAAACUCUCAACUUAUAU
RNAcentral lists this non-coding RNA (45 nucleotides) under Schistosoma margrebowiei. The record is from RNAcentral. Lineage: Eukaryota; Metazoa; Platyhelminthes; Trematoda; Strigeidida; Schistosomatidae.